CGGGGGGCCCGGGCGCGCAGUCGGGGCCGCAAAGUUUGGCAGGGAGGCACCGCGGCUGGCUGGGGUGUGUGUGGGGGUCCCCGGUCGCGCCCCCGGGACGGGGCCCGGCGCCCCGGGAGAGCGCCGACUGGCAAGAGUGGAAGCGGGAGCGCCGGCCCCCAGCGCUGGUGCCUGCCCGUCGCCUGCGGCGUACAAUGGGGUCUCCUCCCCGGGAGGGCUGCAGGGUGGGGGGGAUGGGUCGGUGGGCAUCUCUCGGCUGCGAGGGGUCUCCGGGCACCCCUGCCGGCCACCGCCCCGCGCGCGUUAGAGCCCAGCGUGGCGGCUGGAGCCCCAGGAACUCUCCAGCUGCCUUCAGGGCCGGACCAGAUGCUCUUGCCAUGUGUUGGCCUCGGCCGGGGUCGCCGGGCCCGCUCCCCAUGCUGCCCCCGACCCCCAGGCAGGUCACGCCAGCGAGCUUGCACGGGAGGGAAAGUUAGCGGGGUCUGGGCGUGUUCCCCGGGAGCGGCCCAGCGUGCGGGCCGAGAGCUGGAUGUGAAUAAUGGCUCUGGGGUGGCGCGCGCGUCACAGUUUAUGAAGUACUUUGCACCGUGCGCGCUUCUCUGUGGUUUACGGCGUGCUGCACCGUUGACAAGGUACUUUAAGCUUUGCAAAGUGCCUUCCCGCCGCAGCUGUGUUGGCUCCUUCGGAAUCAGCCUUCCCGGGAGGCCAGGUGGGCGUGAUUCCUGGCCCCUGGGAACCGCCGGGGCGGCCGAGCCUGAGAGAGCCCAGUGCCCCUCUCUCAUCCAGGUCUGGGGCUUUGAAGUCAGGCUCCCCUGGCUGGCUUUUCCCGCCCCCCGGCAAGGUGAGCCCGUGCAGGAUCCUGCCGCUGCUGCGGGCUGAGUACCCUCUUCUCCGGCCACUUUGGGGUGACCGGGAGCCCCUUCCCCUCUUGCAAACUUCAACACAACCUGAUCAGACCUGGCCUCGGAGCUGCGGCCUCUGGAAGUGACAUGGGCGGUGUGACUUUAGUGACUUCACUGGCCACACUUGGGGGCUGGGGGUGGCCCCGGAGGCCAGCUGUCCUCCGGCUCCUGUGGCUUCCCAGAGUGGGUGCCGUGCCGCCCCGCAGGCCCCGGGUGGGGGACGGGGCGGCUGGGCGCGCUCAGGAAUUCCGGGGGAAGACGUUCACUUUCUCCCCCGGCCCUGGGGAGCGGCCAGCAGCAGGGAGGGACGUGAUAAAAGGGGUGUUGGGGACGGUGUGCGCCGCUGCGGUUUCCCCACGAAUGGGCGGCAGGAAGCCCGGCUGGGCGGCUGGCCCGCGCAGGUCCCCUGGGAGAUGCGGCUGGAGACUGACCCCCAGGACGCCGCGCCAGGCCCAGCCAGCCAGGGCCCAGGGUCGGAGGGGCUCGGUGGGCCCAGCGCCCCGGGCCUCCCCCUGCCCACGGGCAGCUUUAUCUGGGCGGCUCCGAGGGCAGCUGGCUGGGCUGAGUGGGCCUGGCCGCCUGCAGAUUUAUGAGGUGUGGGGGAAGCAGCCGGGUGGCGGGGGAGCCGGGGUGUCCAGGGCCGGGUCUGAGGGGAGAGCCGGGACGCGUGCUGACCCGUCUCCUCCUUGGGGCCCUGCCAGCCCCAGUCACUCCGCUCCUCAUUCCUCAGAGCCUGCCCCGGGCCGGCCUUGGGACACAGCACCUGCUGCCCCAGUGUCCCCGAUGGGCUCCCUGGGAGGGGGCUACGCACACAGGGGCCACGUCCCGGAAGCUCAGAGGUGAGGAGGCUGUGGGAAGAAUGUGCUGGAAUCUUCUAUGCCUGGGUCGAAAGCAGGCGAGAAGCCACGUGCUGAGUGCGAGUCCACCGGGGACCCUCAGCUCCCUGCACUUGCGCCCCUGUAAGCAGCUGGUGUGCCCAGGAGCGCGACUCGGCGAUCCCCACCGUGACUGCCUCGGGGAAGAGCCCUGACUUCUUACGCCAUCCUCUAUGUCUUUGAGAGGCAGAGAGAGAGAGAGGGAGGGAGAGAGAGAGAGAGGGAGAGAGAGGGAGAGAGAGGUCUCUGUCUUCUGGUUCACUCCCUACAUGGCCGCAAUGGCUGGAACCGGGCUCAUCCAAAGCCAGGAGCUUCUUCCUGGUCUCCCACGUGGGUGCAGGGGCUUAAGCACUUGGGUCAUCUGCUGCUGCUUUCCCAGGCCAUCAGCAGGGAAUUGGACUGGAAGUGGUGCAGCCAAGACUCGAACUGGCGCCCAUACGGGAUGCCGGCACUGCAGGCAGAGGUUUAACCUGCCACGCCGCAGCGCCGGCCCCUUCUGUGCUGUUGUGAUGUCUGCUCAUAAGCAUAGACUUCUGUGCGCUUAAAAACCUCGGUUAAAACCCAGGGUAGUGGCAGGGAUGUGGGAGACGGAGAAGGGCAGGCCUUCCCCACGCUCUGGGGUGGGGUCUCGGCUGCUGUCACGUGGGCCUGAGUGUGCUCUGGGCUGGGGUCCGUUUGGAUGCUGAGGUCAUUCUCAGUGAGAAGCCUUGCUCCCUGGGAGGCCCCCAGCCUCAGUGGGGAGCCCCCACCCACCCACUCACAUGGAGGAGCUCACGCAGUAACUCCAGGGAGUUGAGGUGGGUUGGGGUGGUCAGGAAGGGCUCCCUGGAGGUGGUGACCAUUGAGGGUGCUAAGUCCCCUCUGACAGGGGACUGUCAAAGGACUUUCUGGAAGGGAAGUUAAGGGCACAUUCUUCAGCCAGGCAGGGGUGCGUCCGAAUCCUUGUCCAUCUGUUUACAGCAGAGGGACUCCGAGCACGUGUCGUCGCCUUAGUUUUCUCUCCUGUGUGACGGUGCAAACAGUCGGCUGUGCUCACCAGCUAUAAGCUAGUUCCUCUUCUCUUUUUCACAUAUGGGGGUCCCCCAAAGCAGGGUGAUGGGCCCUGAGAGCUUAAAAGCCCUCUGCCAAGCGUCUAGGGCCACAAGCUUGGGACAGAGGCAGAGCACUGGCAAGGAGGGUGUGGAGGGGCCUAACGCAGGCGUUCCUCCAGGGAGGGGCCUCCUGGGCAGCUGGCCACACCAGUGUGGCAUCAGGCGUCCUGGGGUCAGGGUCAGGGUCCACCCUGUGCAGGGUUCCCAGGUCAUCCACAAACUGGACACCUGCUGCCCUGGGCCAGGCUGGAGCAUUGAAUCCGAAGCUGGGGCAGAAGAGAGACAGAGAGAGAGAGAGAGAGAGAGCGAGCGAGCGGGCUCCCACCUGCUGGUUCACUCCCCAGCCUUACAACAGCUGGGGCUGGGCCAGGCUGAAGCCAGGCCUCUUCUGUGGGUAGUAGGAACCCAGUUACUGGAGCCAUCACCGCUCCCCUGGGGUCUACACUGGCGAGGAGCUGGAAUCUGGAGCCAGCAGCAAGUUGAGCCGGGCCCUCCAUAGGGCGGAAUCCUGGCUGCCACCGGGGCCUCAGGACCUGGGACACAAGGCCCAGUGCCAUGGUCCCUGAUGGCCUUUCCUCCCUGAGCCUCAGAGUCCUCUGUGACAAGGUGGGGUGGGGGACAAGCUGGCCCAUUGUUAAGCUUUUAUAGUCCAUGAGGUUGGAGCUCAUAACCUCACCCCCAGAACAGAGCCUGGUACCCAUGGGGGCUUGGCUAGAGGGAUGGCCAGACGGAUGGAGACACCGAUGGAUGGAGGGAUGGAUGGACAGACAGGAGGAGGGAAGGAAGGUGGGGGGAACAGGUGAGCUGAUGCAUGGAUUGACAGACGGUUGGAUAGAGGGAUGUAUGGAUGAGUCCAAGCACUUGGGCCAUCUCCUGCUCUUUCCCAGGCACGUGAGCAGGGAGCUGGAUCAGAAGUGGAGCAUCCGGGACUCGAACCAGUGCCCAUAUGGGAUGCCAGCACUGCAGGUGGAGGUUUAGCCCACUACACCACAGCGCCAGCCCCUAUUUCUUCUGCUUUGAACCUUUCUAUCCCCAGCUAUUUUACUGACUUAUUUCCUCACUUUGCACAAAGCAUCCUGAAAGAACACUAGACGUGGAGGCCAGCACAGCCCUAGGCCUCACUGCACCCGCUACGUCACCUGUGAAAUGGGCACAGUGGGAACAUGGGGCCUGCCCGUUUCCUUGGGGCCCCUUGCGUGCGCCUUAUGUGCACCUCUCGGCUGUGGUGGCCGCUUCUUCUCCCUGCGCUAGCUGUGGGCCGCCUGCCUUUGGUGUCUGCCGGGCUCAGUGCGAGGCCUGCAGAGCGCGGUGAAGACGUGAGACCGUGUAGUCCACAGAGCUGUCGUGGGGAAAGUCCGAGGCAGCCACGGGAGGGUGCUGUGCACGCGGGGGAGUCCGGGACCCCACUCGGUCGCUGUCCAACUCCAAGGAAGCCCAGCCUGGGGCUAAGUCCCCAUCAGUGGCUUUGCCGCUUCGCCUCGUGUCCAGGCGGCCCUGAGCCCUGUUCCUGUCCCCUCGCCCCACUGUGCGCGGGGACACACUUGGGAGGUGGUGCCAUUCUCACAAGGGACAAUUAGUGGCAGCAGCAGCUCCUGCAGCCAGUGGGCUCCGGGCCAGGCUUUGGGUGCAGGGCACCUGUAGGUCUGGGAGUGGCGGGAGGGUGAGGAGAAGCCAGGACCCUGCCCAGCAUCCCGGCAGGGGGGAUACUCUCUGCCCACCCACCCACAGCGCCAGGCAGCUUGGACAGGCAACGAAGUUCCCCCAUUUUACAGCUGAGAAAAUUGAGGCUUAGAGAAGGUCAUGUUCGGCUGAUUCAGAAGGCAUCCUCUCACCCAGCCACAGUUCUGGGAGGCUGGGGUGGGAGGGCACAGACAGGGGCCUGGGGGAGCCCAGGGGAUGCCCUUUUAGGCAGGCCCUGGCCGCUGGCAGAACUGUGACAGGUACAGGGGCUGGGGUCAAUCCCAGGCCUAGCACUGGAGCUCUGGGGACGCGGACGGCUCUGGGGAGGCAGGGUCUCCAGCCGGACUUUUGUGGUUUUGCUUCUAAAAGUUCCUCCUGACCCAGCCGGGCCUCUGUUCCCUCUGUCCCAGAGCCAGGGUCCCUGAGACUCUGCCUCGUGCCGCCUGGCCACAGGAGAGCAGGCCUGUGCCAGGGGAGAUGAGUCGGGGCAGCCGGGCAGCCGAGCGCGCACAAGGAAGGAAGGCCUCCGUGACGUUGCCCAGUGCUGCAGCCCCCCUUCCCCUCUUGUGCCCCGGGGCCUCGGCGCCAUCUGCCGUGACCCAGGACAACGGCAGCCCCGGGGAGGCAGCUCCAUCUCGGGCCAGGAUGCCAGAUACAUCCGCGGUAUCGGCCUACGAGGGAGCUGCCGCCCAGACUGGGGGCGGGGCGGGGGCUUGUGCAGAACACAGACCCCCAGCCUCCAACCUGGCCCUGUGGGGUGGAGGGAAGGCUGGGACUGGGACGUGCAGAAAGUGCUCGGGUCUGAGCUGACGCUUGGGCGGCUGCCACCUCGUGCCAGCACCUGGCGCUGCCGAAAGCCGGCCGAUCGUGGGGAACGGAGCACGGGGCGUGGAGGAGCGGGCGGGACGCUGGGCCGUGGCGGGGGCCGGGGGGGGGGGGCUUGUGCCCUGGGUUUCCAUCUGACUCUAACCUGUUCCCCGAGUUGUCUUUAAUGAGCAUGUACUGCAUUUGCCAUGGAAAACACAAGUAGGAGUGCGUGUGGAAGGGAGUGGCGCGGAGAGGGGCGAGCUGGAGACCCGGCCUAUCUCCUGAGCCUCAGUUGCUACUCUGUAACCUGGGGAUUGUAAAAGCUCCACGCGUGGCUGCCAGUGUUGAGUGAGCUCAUUGCCCCCACUUCCCUGCCGGGGCCCUGUGGGAGCCCCCGCCCCUUCUCUGGCUCAGACCCUGGCAGGGAAGGCUGGCCAGGGCUUUCCAGGCUGCCCUGGCAAAGCCCACUCUACAGAUGGGGACACUGAGGCCCCGGGGCAGCUGCAGGGUCCCAGCCGCGGGAGGGGGCGUGUGCGUGCCUGCUGUGGUUUUCGCUCCCUGUCGGCGCCUUGCUCAGUGAGUGUGAGGGGGCAGCAAGUCCCCAUCUGUGUUUUCCAAUAAAAGAAAAUGAAAAUUGAAGCGCA
Molecule: long non-coding RNA, 5999 nt
Filed under: Oryctolagus cuniculus (rabbit)
Lineage: Eukaryota; Metazoa; Chordata; Mammalia; Lagomorpha; Leporidae
Description: lncRNA (ENSOCUG00000029842.1)
Source: RNAcentral